AUUGAACGCGGGCGGCAUGCCUUACACAUGCAAGUCGAACGGUAACGGGCCUUCGGGUGCCGACGAGUGGCGAACGGGUGAGUAAUACAUCGGAACGUGCCCGAUCGUGGGGGAUAACGAGGCGAAAGCUUUGCUAAUACCGCAUACGAUCUACGGAUGAAAGCAGGGGACCGCAAGGCCUUGCGCGGACGGAGCGGCCGAUGGCAGAUUAGGUAGUUGGUGGGAUAAAAGCUUACCAAGCCGACGAUCUGUAGCUGGUCUGAGAGGAUGAUCAGCCACACUGGGACUGAGACACGGCCCAGACUCCUACGGGAGGCAGCAGUGGGGAAUUUUGGACAAUGGGCGCAAGCCUGAUCCAGCCAUGCCGCGUGCAGGAUGAAGGCCUUCGGGUUGUAAACUGCUUUUGUACGGAACGAAAAGCCUUCUUUUAAUACAGGAGGGUCAUGACGGUACCGUAAGAAUAAGCACCGGCUAACUACGUG
This 482-nucleotide ribosomal RNA is filed under the name uncultured bacterium. RNAcentral's name for it is "partial 16S ribosomal RNA". It matches the Rfam family "Bacterial small subunit ribosomal RNA", at positions 30 to 507 of the family's 1533-position model. The record is from RNAcentral.